GGCUGAAGAUUUCGUCAAUGGCGCUGUCAGUUCCUAUCCAAACACCUCCUCACCGACGCUGCUCUCUCCUCCACUGCUUCGACGACUCCAAUGGCUGCCUCAACUACUUCUCUCUCCAUUUCUCUAUUGUUGUAACUAAGCUCUCAGCUCAUCUCAAUUUGUCCCCCAGUAUGGGGUGUUGUGACUUUCUUAGCCCUCGGAAAUGGAGCUCCGGACGUGUUUGCAUAUCGGUCACCGGUGUUUGCGGCGGCCAAUUGAGGACUGGGUUUGGUGCGAUUGUCUGCCGCCACCCGUUUUCCCUUCACAAAAUAAAAUCUGAACUUGUGUUUCCGGUGAUUUGUGAAAUUUUUUUCUAGGGUUUGGGCGAGGGGUGCGGGUUUGGUUCAAUCGGAAACCCAAACACCAGCUAAGACACCAUACUUGACGUGUUUUGACUUCACCGGGAAACCAAUCGUCGUUCACUCACCGCCGGGUGCUUAUACAGAGCCGAUUCCACCUCUACGCUGCUCAAAUUAUCGCCGUUACUGAUGAUUACAUCCUUCGAUCGGUCUUCGAUUCAUUCUAGGCCGAUGCCGGAAUUUCGUUCAAUCGGUCUUUGAUGGGUCGUUGUGGUUGAUACCAAAGAUAGCCAUGGACGGCGAGCACGAAGUUUUCGAAUUGUAGGUUUGGUUUCAAUGUGGGUUUGUUUGCAGUGAAGGUGGCUGCCAAUGGAGCGGUGGUGGCCUUUGUUUUAAAGAGCAAUUAAGGCUAAGGAUUUUGAUAUCCGGAGAAAGAAGAAGAAGAACAAGUAUAAUAACAAGAAGGUCGAGUGGAUAGCGGCAGAGGAGUGGUGGUGGCCACAGAUUCGUUCGAGCUGGAGCUGGAAGUGAAGUAAGUCCGUCGCCGAGUCAACUCGGACUCGAUAUGGUUUGCUAUGAGGCCAAUAAUUUGCGAGCGAGCUUCUUUGCGGAUUAAAGAUCGAUGAGUUUGGGAGGGUUUAAGAGAAAAGUGUCACAUCAGUUGAGGAUGAUGGAUUUGAGGGCGAGAUUGGGAAUGAGAUUGGAAAAAUCAGGGGUAGAGCCGUCAGAGAGAAUGGGUUUGAACCCUAAAGUUACGCUCGAAGGUUUGGCCAGAGGAGAUAAUGACAGGUCGACCAUUAAAGACCCAGAAAUUAGGCAGAUAAACUCGUUGAGAGGUUAUUUUUUGAUGGUGUAAACACUAAAAUUUUAGUGGACUUUGAUUUGGACAAAUGGAUCUAUUAAAUAUGGGCCUAAUGUCUAAUUAAGUUAUUUAAUUGGCCUAAAUUUGGUCCACUUAAAUUAUUUAAUUAAGCUCAGUUCAGAUGGUUAAAUAAAAAGAAUAAUUAUUCCUAAUAAAAUAUAUUUGGAAUAAUUAUUUUUAAGGAUAAUUAUCAUAAUAUAUCCGGCCCGGCCCAGUUAUGAUAAUUUUCUUAUCAGAGAGGACACGUGUCAUCAUCCUAUGGAUCCAAGAAACCUAUAAAUAGAGGCCUGGAGGAAGGGAGAAGGGGUACACACAAAGUCAGAAUUCAGAAAUCUAGAAUUCCAGAGAAAAAUACAAAAACUCUCAUUCUCAACAUCCAAACCCAAAAGCGAAGAACACUAAACAUCAAAUGGUGCCGUUCUUCACCAAAUUCCAUGGUGAUCAACAACAAGCACAGCCAAAGACGUGCCGUUCUUCACCAAAUUCCACGGUGAUCAACAACAAGCACAGCCAAAGACGUGCCGUUCUUUAUUAAAUUCCACGGUGAUCAACAACAAGCAUAGCCAAAGACAUGCCGUUCUUCAUCAAAUUUCACGGUAAUUCAAGAUCAAGCCUGUGCAGCCCUUGAAUCCAACCAACCAACAAAAAAAAAUAGAUUUAAUCAGAGGACCAGUUCUUUCUUUUGUAAAGAAUAUUACAGAGGAUUGUACCUCAAUUUUUCAAAUUAAUAAAAUUAUAUUAUUUGCUCCAUGUUUUGUUUCUAUUGCAGACUUACAAAAUUUGUGUAUACAAAUGGACGACGAAGAGCGGUGAAAGGAGAUCUUCCAAGUCAUAAGCAAAAGAAAAACAGUUGUAUGCCCUUGAAAGUGAAAUGACUUUAGGUCUCGUAUACUCCAUUGGCACGGGAUUUACUUCUGAACUGUAGGACGAGACGGAGUUUUUGGUGGUGUAGAUUUUAACGCUUCUUGCUGGAAUCUCUCGCGUGAGGAUCAGUUGGACGUGUCCUGGACUUAGAGUAGGAGUCAACACUGGUUUACCUAACUCUUAAAAGAUUUGAAUUAGGAGUGGUUGGUUAACUAUUUUCAUAGAAAGGGGAAUGC
Cornus florida is the source of this 2300-nucleotide long non-coding RNA. RefSeq lists it as uncharacterized. The record is from RefSeq and is a predicted model, not a curated record. The transcript has 3 exons. Lineage: Eukaryota; Viridiplantae; Streptophyta; Magnoliopsida; Cornales; Cornaceae.